RNAcentral lists this ribosomal RNA (519 nucleotides) under uncultured bacterium. RNAcentral describes it as "bacterial SSU rRNA". It matches the Rfam family "Bacterial small subunit ribosomal RNA", at positions 1 to 515 of the family's 1533-position model. The record is from RNAcentral.
AGAAUUCGCCCUUGCGGAUCCGCGCCGCUGCAGAGUUUGAUCCUGGCUCAGAAUCAACGCUGGCGGCGUGCCUCAGACAUGCAAGUCGAACGGUUAAGACUCCCUUCGGGGAGUGUAUAAAGUGGCGCACGGGUGAGUAACACGUGGGUAAUCUACCUCCGGGUGGGGGAUAACCUGCCGAAAGGUGGGCUAAUACCGCAUAAUGCAGCGGCACCGAAUGGUGACAGUUGUUAAAGGAGCAAUCCGCCUGGAGAGGAGCCUGCGGCCGAUUAGCUAGUUGGUAGGGUAAUGGCCUACCAAGGCGACGAUCGGUAGCCGGCCUGAGAGGGCGGUCGGCCACACUGGCACUGAAACACGGGCCAGACUUCUACGGGAGGCAGCAGUCGGGAAUUUUGGGCAAUGGGCGAAAGCUGACCCAGCAACGGCGCGUGAGGGAUGAAGUCUUCGGGAUGUAAACUCGUAAGAUGCGAAGAAUAACUGACGUGGCAUUGGUAAGCCCGGGUAAUUAGGGGCAGAAGC